GAUGAACGCUGGCGGCGUGCCUAAUACAUGCAAGUCGAACGGAAAGACGAUGAGCUUGCUCCGCUGACGUUAGCGGCGGGCGGGUGAGUCACGCGUGGAUCCCCUACUUAUCUUACGGGGAGCACUACGAAACACCGGAUCUAAUAGCGGAGGAUAUCUUGAACCGCGUGGUGCAAUGGUGAGAGACGGCUUUGGUGGCUGUUAUAGCUGCUUCCGCGCCGGCUGAGCUAGUUGGGAAGGUAACGGCUUACCAAGGCUACGAGGCGUAGCCGAACGGAGAGGGUGAUAGGCCACACGGGAACUGGGACACGGACCAGACGACGGAGGGAGGCAGCAGUAGGGAAUCUGCGGCAAUGGGCGGAAGCCUGACGGAGCAAAGCCGCGUGAGUGAUGAAGGUCUUCGGAUCGUAAAGCCCUGUUGCUGGGGAAGAACAAAUGUGUCAUGAAACGUAGACGUAGUGACGGUACCUAAUGAGUAAGCCCCGGCUAACUACGUG
Molecule: ribosomal RNA, 497 nt
Filed under: uncultured bacterium
Lineage: Bacteria
Description: partial 16S ribosomal RNA
Rfam family: Bacterial small subunit ribosomal RNA
Source: RNAcentral